Molecule: long non-coding RNA, 891 nt
Filed under: Crocodylus porosus (Australian saltwater crocodile)
Lineage: Eukaryota; Metazoa; Chordata; Crocodylia; Crocodylidae
Description: lncRNA (ENSCPRG00005016696.1)
Source: RNAcentral
CAACACUGCUGCUUUUCUUUCUUUCUCCUCCCAUAGGGACUCUUCUUACCCACAGCGGGGAUACUGAAAGCUUGUCUCUGAGAAGUUAAUGAGACUCCUGUUUUGUGCACCAUUUGAGCUUUAUUUCAAAUGCCGUUUGGAAGGAUAAACAGCAUUCAGUGGAGAGUGGGUGUACAUAUUUCCUCCUGGUGCCCAGUGACCGCAGGUUUAGGCCUACAAGAAAAGCAUCUGCUCCGGUUGGGUAGAGCAGGAGCCACCAAAGCAGAGGCUGGAAGACAGCCGGUUUAAAAAUGAGAAGUCUUUGUAAAAACUCUGUGAUGCGUUUUUGUUUUUAUUACCAAAAAAUCAAAAUUUGAACAAAUUCCCCUUUCUAUGCAGGUGGUCAAAAAUGAUGGGGGAAAUGCCACCCACACGGCUAAAAAUAGAAGAGAGGAAAUUCAUGAAAAUGUCACCUAAAUACUUUCCAUUGAUUGCUCAGAUUAAAAAAUGUCACUGAGCUCUUGUGUUGCUUUUCUUUGUUUGCUGCACUCUUAGCUCUAACCACUUGCACUACGUGCCGAGGUGGAAGCCAUGCCGUUCUCAGCAUUGCAGCUGCAGGAACAAAUUCUUCAAAUGUACUUUGUUCUUAUCUCGUGUCUUUUGCUUUGAACUAAGUGAAGUCAUGACUGUGAGUGAGCGGCCAGUCCUUGAGUGAGAACAUAUACCUUGCUCCAUCCGAGAGUGGUUUACGUGGUAAAAUUGGGUAUUUGCUAUUCUUCAGCAUCCAGUGAACUCAGCAUGCUCUCACUACACUGAAGAAGUAUCAGCUUUCAUAAGGAAAUCUGUAAUGCAGAAGGAGCUAGUAAACUGGCCUGUCUCAAUUUUAGGUAGGCAUAAGUCAAGGCACUUCAA